GCUCCCGUGGCGCAACUGGCAGCGCUCUCGGCUUGUAUUCGAGAGGUUGAAGGUUCAAAUCCUUCCGGGAGCU
This 73-nucleotide transfer RNA is filed under the name Patescibacteria group bacterium. RNAcentral's name for it is "tRNA-Thr". It matches the Rfam family "tRNA". Rfam says of the family: Transfer RNA (tRNA) molecules are approximately 80 nucleotides in length. Their secondary structure includes four short double-helical elements and three loops (D, anti-codon, and T loops). Further hydrogen bonds mediate the characteristic L-shaped molecular structure. tRNAs have two regions of fundamental functional importance: the anti-codon, which is responsible for specific mRNA codon recognition, and the 3' end, to which the tRNAs corresponding amino acid is attached (by aminoacyl-tRNA synthetases). tRNAs cope with the degeneracy of the genetic code in two manners: having more than one tRNA (with a specific anti-codon) for a particular amino acid; and 'wobble' base-pairing, i.e. permitting non-standard base-pairing at the 3rd anti-codon position. The record is from RNAcentral.